Small nuclear RNA from Octodon degus (degu), 103 nucleotides. The record is from Ensembl. NCBI's taxonomy places the organism in Eukaryota, Metazoa, Chordata, Mammalia, Rodentia, Octodontidae.
UUGCUUCAGCAGCAAAUAUAUUAAAACUGAAAUGAUACAGAGAAAAUUAGCAUGGUCCAUGCACAAGGAUGACAUGCAAAUUUAUGAAGCGUUCCAUAUGUUU